This is a non-coding RNA of Miniopterus natalensis, 387 nucleotides long. NCBI's taxonomy places the organism in Eukaryota, Metazoa, Chordata, Mammalia, Chiroptera, Miniopteridae. The record is from RefSeq and is a predicted model, not a curated record.
AUGGGGCUUGGGCUCAGCUGGGUUUUCCUUGUUACUAUUUUAAGAGGUGUCCAGGGUGAGGUGCAGCUGGUGGAGUCUGGGGGAGCUGUGGUGAAGCCUGGGGGGUCUCUGAGACUCUCCUGUGCAGCCUCUGGAUUCACCUUCAGUAGCUAUGCAAUGAGCUGGGUCCGCCAGGCUCCAGGGAAGGGGCUGGAGUGGGUCUCAUACAUUAGUAGUAGUGGUGGAAGCACAUACUAUGCAGACUCUGUGAAGGGCCGAUUCACCAUCUCCAGAGACAACGCCAAGAACACGCUGUAUCUGCAAAUGAACAGCCUGAAAUCUGAGGACUCGGCCGUGUAUUUCUGUGCGAAAGACACACAAUUUAUGACUACUGGGGCCAGGGAAACC